This 301-nucleotide ribosomal RNA is filed under the name uncultured bacterium. RNAcentral's name for it is "partial 16S ribosomal RNA". It matches the Rfam family "Bacterial small subunit ribosomal RNA", at positions 509 to 807 of the family's 1533-position model. The record is from RNAcentral.
CAGCCGCCACGGGAAUACAGAGGGUGCGAGCGUUAAUCGGAUUUACUGGGCGUAAAGCUUGCGUAGGCGGCUUCUUAAGUCGGAUGUGAAAUCCCUGAGCUUAACUUAGGAAUUGCAUUCGAUACUGGGAAGCUAGAGUAUGGGAGAGGAUGGUAGAAUUCCAGGUGUAGCGGUGAAAUGCGUAGAGAUCUGGAGGAAUACCGAUGGCGAAGGCAGCCAUCUGGCCUAAUACUGACGCUGAGGUACGAAAGCAUGGGGAGCAAACAGGAUUAGAUACCCCAGUAGUCCCUGUCUCUUAUAC